AACGAACGCUGGCGGCAGGCUUAACACAUGCAAGUCGAACGCACCCUUUCGGGGGUGAUGUGGCAGACGGGUGAUGUAACGCGUGGGAAUUUACCUUAAACUUCGGGAUAACACAGAGAAAUUUGUGCUAAUACCGGAUGAGCUGAUGCAGAGGGAUCUGUAUCGGGAAAGAUUUAUCGGUUUAAGAUAAGCCCGCGUUGGAUUAGCUAGUUGGUAGGGUAAAGGCCUACCAAGGCGACGAUCCAUAGCUGGUCUGAGAGGAUGAUCAGCCACACUGGGACUGAGACACGGCCCAGACUCCUACGGGAGGCAGCAGUGGGGAAUAUUGGACAAUGGGCGCAAGCCUGAUCCAGCCAUGCCGCGUGAGUGAUGAAGGCCUUAGGGUUGUAAAGCUCUUUCACCGGAGAAGAUAAUGACGGUAUCCGGAGAAGAAGCCCCGGCUAACUUCGUGCCAGCAGCCGCGGUAAUACGAAGGGGGCUAGCGUUGUUCGGAUUUACUGGGCGUAAAGCGCGCGUAGGCGGAUAUUUAAGUCAGGGGUGAAAUCCCGGGGCUCAACCCCGGAACUGCCUUUGAUACUGGAUAUCUUGAGUAUGGAAAAAGGUGAGUGGAAUUCCCGAGUGUAGAGGUGAAAUUCGUAGAUAUUCGGA
RNAcentral lists this ribosomal RNA (648 nucleotides) under uncultured Hyphomicrobiales bacterium. RNAcentral describes it as "bacterial SSU rRNA". It matches the Rfam family "Bacterial small subunit ribosomal RNA", at positions 28 to 702 of the family's 1533-position model. Lineage: Bacteria; Pseudomonadati; Pseudomonadota; Alphaproteobacteria; Hyphomicrobiales. The record is from RNAcentral.